Molecule: ribosomal RNA, 180 nt
Filed under: uncultured bacterium
Lineage: Bacteria
Description: partial 16S ribosomal RNA
Rfam family: Bacterial small subunit ribosomal RNA
Source: RNAcentral
CAGACUCCUACGGGAGGCAGCAGUGAGGAAUAUUGGUCAAUGGACGAGAGUCUGAACCAGCCAAGUAGCGUGCAGGAUGACGGCCCUAUGGGUUGUAAACUGCUUUUAUAAGGGAAUAAAAGUGAGUCUCGUGAGACUUUUUGCAUGUACCUUAUGAAUAAGGACCGGCUAAUUCCGUGC